RNAcentral lists this long non-coding RNA (2398 nucleotides) under Equus caballus (horse). Its description in RNAcentral is "lncRNA (ENSECAG00000047624.1)". Lineage: Eukaryota; Metazoa; Chordata; Mammalia; Perissodactyla; Equidae. The record is from RNAcentral.
ACAUUUGGCUCUUGGGAUUAAUUCCUACCUUCACUACUUUCUAGGGGUUGAUCUUGGAUAACUUACCUAACCUCUUUUAGCCUCAGUUUCCUCAACAGUUCCUCAACCCUAAGUUCUUACUGCAUAAUUGCUAUUAUCAUUUGUUUCUACAGUUGAUGAUACAUCUUAAAAACGUUCAUAUCUAUUCACUUCAUUUCUAUAAUUACACUCUCAAAUUGACCAUACCUAUUAUUUCCAUUGGUAUCCCAUAGAUAACCUCUACCUCCUCUCCAAGAUUCUGACUCCUUCCCAGGCCUAACUGCUCAUACCUCUUGUUUGGGAAUGAUCAGAGGAAAAGCUUUCCACCACCACCACCACUCUGCUAUGAUUGGUAGCACAGCCGAAGAGAGAGUUUUAUGGAAGAGAGAUGCCCGAGUUGAAUUUAAGUUUUUCUCUCAAUGCUUUGCUUUGUUUCCUCUGUAGAAUCCCAGCAAAUUCUUUUUUUUAUUAGUUAAUCUUUUAAAUUGUGGUAAAAAAAAAAACCCACAUAUCAUAAAGUUUACCAUCUUAGCCAUUUUUAAGUAUAGGGUUCAGUAGUGUUAAGUAUAUUUACAUCAUUGUGAAGCAGAUCUCCAGAACUUUUUCAUCUUGCAGAACUGAAACUCUACACCCAUUAAACAACAGCUCCCCUAUUCCCCUUUCCCUGAGCCCUUGGUAACCAGCAUUCUGUUUUUUAUUUCUAUUAAUUUAACGACUUUAGAUACCUCAUAUGAUUGGAAUCAAGGAAUCAUACAGUAUUUGUCCUUUUAUGACUCAAGUCUCUCUCUUUUUUAAACCAUCAAGAGCUUUAAUAGCUACCAGUUUAUUUUUUUAAGUGGUAUAGGAGGUUAUUCAUAAUCGAAAUAAAUCAACUUGAAAUAUCAAGAUUCAUUAAUGCAUGAUCCAUUAAAAUACAUAACUUGAAGUUUAUCCACAUAGAAAGUAUAUUCCCACAAUUUAGUCUUUCUUGUUAGGUUGGAUGGCACAGAAAUAACCCAUGGUAUGCAACAAAGAUUAAACUGUCUCUUUGUCCUUGGAAAAUUCUAUGCUGGUCUCCUACACUUUAUACAAGAGGCUACUUGGGGGAGCAUGGGGAGGAUGGUGCUCAAACAGGAGAAUGAAUAGAUGAAUGGGCCCCUAAUAUUUACAUUAUAUAAUUACAGGAGAAGUACACACCUUAUACCUUUUUUUAUGGCUCCUUCCCCCACGGUCCCUAUCACAAUGCCUAUCUUCACAAAUAUUUGUCAGAUAAAAGGACAAAGAUCGUGAAGGGAAGAAGAAUAGAAAAAGAAAUGUGAUGGUAGUGGCAGAAAUAAUGGAAGCAGAAGACACAGGACAAGGCAGUCGUAGAUUAUAGAGGGGCACAUGACCAACCUUUUACAAUCAACCAAAUUAAAGCCAACUUCAUCACACAGAAGUCCCUUACACCCUGGGCUAUGACAAUGGCAGGUAUUGAUUUAGCUCAAGUUAUGAGGUGAUCAAUAUAUUCUUUGGAUGCCCUCUUUCUUUUCAGCAGCCCCCUCUAAUUCAACUCAACUCCACUUCCACGCCUGCCCUCCUGGAUAUUGUAGCUUGUACAACAACACUCUAACUCCUCAAAGCGUUUUGAAACUUCCAUCCUCUACGAAAUCCCUCAGCACAAUGGAGGACCUUCAAACCACAGCCACACAGGUGACCUCUCUAAUAUACGUUUGUUCUUAAGAAAGGAAUGCCUUGGUUCCCUAUUUGUCAAAACAUUUUAUCCUCUUCUAAUGUGUAGCUAUUCAUUGAACAUCUGAUUAGGGUUAAAGAAGACAUGAGGUUAAUGGUUUUGAAAGGUAAAGGGCUAAAUCUUUCCCUGUUUCCACCUACCUCUCUCACCAGACAUUGAACCUACACUCCCUCCAGAUAGUAUUAUGCUUCCUGAAGAAGCUAAGAUACAUCUGAACAAGAAGAUCUCUCCUGUAUUUGUUGGAAGUGUGGGUAAGACACUCAAGAGAGAGACCACAGAUAAAAAUAUAAACCUAGGAGUCAUCUACCUGGAGACGAUCGCUGAAACUUGGAGAGGAGAAAAGCAUUCCUUUAAUCAUGCAUCAGUAAAAGAUUAAUAAAUAUCAAGGGCUGUCUUGGUUCAUGGGGCUGAAGAAUACACCAGUUGGUAGUUCUCAGUUCAAGUCAGUGCAGAUCCUAUCAAAGAAAAUAAAAAUACAUAUGACAAGUGCCUGCCUUAGAAAGGAUCAUACACAUUGCUAAAUUUCUUCAACCAGAUAUACGUCAGGAAUUAAAGCUAAAUCUGAGUGAAUGUUUCACAGACUUUUGGCUGAGAGGGGGCACUUCCUUGAUGUCUGGUUUCUUUUAGUUUGUUGGGUGGAUGUAGAGAAAGUUGUUAGCCUGGCUCAUG